Long non-coding RNA from Ailuropoda melanoleuca (giant panda), 265 nucleotides. RefSeq lists it as uncharacterized. Lineage: Eukaryota; Metazoa; Chordata; Mammalia; Carnivora; Ursidae. The record is from RefSeq and is a predicted model, not a curated record. The transcript is spliced from 3 exons.
GCAAAGGAGCUGGGGUUCUGCGAAGAAAUCUAGAUCCCAGGAGAACAAGCAUGUGCCAAGACACGAAAUCGCAUGAAAAAUCAUGAAAUUGCCAAUAAAAGUCUAUGCGCAGAGCAGAAUGCAUGUGGGGAAGUAGCAGGAGGACUGAUGAUCGCACCUGCUUCAUGGGAUAUAAAUGAGACAGUAUGGGGGAAAUUGCUUGGAACAGCACACGGAAUGAUAUGUGAACAACCACUUUUUAGAAACUAGAACACCAUGGGGCUCC